CGGCGGCGGCGGCGGCUCCCGUCCGCAAGGCCAACAAGGCGCGCAGCAAGCUCUGCGAGAUCAUCUAGUGGCCGCGCGGCUCGGCACGAGAACACUGCAUAGCUCCAGUGCUGCUCCCAAAGGAUAGAGAAGUAAGGCUGAUACAAACUAGAGAGGAAGUAGAUUUCCAGACUGCUUCACGACAAAAAAAGGACAGCCAGUUACCUACAUCGUUCGUUCUACGAUAUUUGAGGGCUGUCCGGAAGACUUACAAGAAUCGAGAGAGUACUGAAUUUCUAAGAAUCUAGUCUGAAAAACUGGGUAGCUGAAGCAUAAAUCAGUAUACGUAGGUCUUAGGAACUUUUAAUGUGAUAUACUCACUGCACUGUCUCAUGAAAUGGCCUAUCCCUUGUUAUCUUUAUAAGCUGUCAAUUUAUCGUUCCUUUUGUAAUAUAGUUUCUCGGUGAUAUUUGUGAUAAGCAAUAAAAACUAAAGCGAGAGUAAUUUUUAGAAGUCGAUCUUUCAAGUCAGAUAAUUAUGAGAACAUGUGAGUUUAAAUCCGAUUUUCGUAAAUAUAAAGAUAAUUUGUAAUGACCAUCAGUAUUAACAAUGUACCGUAGUUUGUAAGAAAAUAAAUUUGAGAAAACUUUUACUUUCCACUGUUUUA
Molecule: long non-coding RNA, 646 nt
Organism: Schistocerca gregaria
Lineage: Eukaryota; Metazoa; Arthropoda; Insecta; Orthoptera; Acrididae
Exons: 2
Source: RefSeq, a predicted model, not a curated record